This 468-nucleotide ribosomal RNA is filed under the name uncultured bacterium. Its description in RNAcentral is "partial 16S ribosomal RNA". It matches the Rfam family "Bacterial small subunit ribosomal RNA", at positions 28 to 507 of the family's 1533-position model. The record is from RNAcentral.
GACGAACGCUGGCGGCGUGCUUAACACAUGCAAGUCGAACGGAAAGGCCCUGCUUUUGUGGGGUGCUCGAGUGGCGAACGGGUGAGUAACACGUGAGUAACCUGCCCUUGACUUUGGGAUAACUUCAGGAAACUGGGGCUAAUACCGGAUAGGAGCUGCUGCUGCAUGGUGGGGGUUGGAAAGUUUCGGCGGUUGGGGAUGGACUCGCGGCUUAUCAGCUUGUUGGUGGGGUAGUGGCUUACCAAGGGUUUGACGGGUAGCCGGCCUGAGAGGGUGACCGGCCACAUUGGGACUGAGAUACGGCCCAGACUCCUACGGGGGGCAGCAGUGGGGAGUAUUGCACAAUGGGCGGAAGCCUGAUGCAGCAACGCCGCGGGCGGGAUGACGGCCUUCGGGUUGUAAACCGCUUUCGCCUGUGACGAAGCGUGAGUGACGGUAAUGGGUAAAGAAGCACCGGCUAACUACGUG